GGAGAUGAAGUUUAUCAAGCUGUCCCCCCAACCCCCAGCUUACCUCAAAUCACUAUAAUCCUUCAGGUCUCAGCCUCCUGAGUAACUAUGAUUAUAGCCAUGCGAUAUCAGUGCCUUGGCCAAGUUCAGAUUGUUAGCAAAGCAGGAAUUUCAGGCCCAUUUCUCUUUCUAUUGACAAUGUGACAAAAAGCAAUUCAACCCCCCCCUCAACAUACAAAACAGCAAAAAACUCCAAACCUAAAAUUAACUGAGUAAUAUAUGUAUGACAGUCAGUCAAGUAGGAAGAAGCAGGGAGGAACGGCCAUGCCUCUCAAAAGCACUGGAAAAAUCACAGGUGCUUAACUUACCUCUUAACAAGCAAAUCCUUCUACUUUAGUGCGUUCAAAGAUUCCAGCCAACCAGACACUCGAGGUGGCUGGUCUCAUACCAAAUCUUUUGAGGUAGGAAUGGGCAAUUGUUUUUCAAUCCAGAGACACCUCUGUUUCUUCCUUCCCCACUCCCUCCUUCCUUCCCCUUCUUCUCUUUUCUGUUUUUCUUUUUGCCAAGACUGGGUUGUGAGUUACCAACCGGCUCCCUUGCUUGAUCAUAGAGCCACACCUGGUUAAUUGGAAAUGGAGUCUUAAAAAGUUUUCUUCCCAGGUAGGCUUUGAACGGUGACCCUCCAGAUCUUAGCCUCCUGCAUAGCUAAUCGGUAUGAGUCAGAAAGUGCCUGGCUGCAAAGGCUUCUUGACUUAUCCGUUCUCUUAAGCAGAAUCUUAAUAAUGCUUGUGGUACCUAAGUUUGAAAAAACUGAUUUUUACCAGUCUGAUUCCCUAGUGGUACCUGAAGAUUCUCCUGUCUGCAUAGCAAAUCUAAUUAUCUUUCUCCUUUGCAUAAAACUGUUAUGGUUCUCCAUUGUCAUCAAUAAAGUCCAUCUUUGUGUGUGUGUGUGUGUGUGUGUGUGUGUGUGUGUGUGU
Long non-coding RNA from Perognathus longimembris pacificus (Pacific pocket mouse), 956 nucleotides. RefSeq lists it as uncharacterized. NCBI's taxonomy places the organism in Eukaryota, Metazoa, Chordata, Mammalia, Rodentia, Heteromyidae. The transcript is spliced from 3 exons. The record is from RefSeq and is a predicted model, not a curated record.